This 509-nucleotide long non-coding RNA is filed under the name Homo sapiens (human). RNAcentral's name for it is "non-protein coding lnc-NR6A1-2:1". The record is from RNAcentral. Lineage: Eukaryota; Metazoa; Chordata; Mammalia; Primates; Hominidae.
GCCGGGCGUGAUGGCGGGCGCCUGUGGUCCCAGCUACUCGGGAGGCUGAGGCAGGAGAAUGGCAUGAACCCGGGAGGCAGAGCUUGCAGUGAGCCGAGAUCGCGCCACUGCACUCCAGCCUGGGUGACAGAGUGAGACUCCGUCUCAAAAAAAAAAAAAAAAAAAAAAAAAGAAAGAAAAUGGGUAUCCAAACAAAGACUUGGAAGUGAAUGUCCAUAGCAGCAUUAUUCACAGUAGCCACAAGGUAGAAACAACCCAAAUGUCCAUCAACUGAAUAGAGAAAUAUUCAGCCAUAAAAAGGAAUGUAGGGCUGGGCACAGUGGCUAUAACAGUGCUUGCCUGGCCUGCAGUAGGAGCUCUGUAAAUAUCUGUUGGGUAAAUGAGCCUGCAUUUUGUAGACAUGCUAGAGCACAAGGUUAAGAGCAUGGCAUCUGGAGCCUCAGUGAGACUGUAGGCAACUUAAUAUUUCUGUGCCUCUGUUUCAUCUGUAACAUGGGCUUUCACAUCAU